CUUACGGGACGCAGCAGUGGGGAAUAUUGCACAAUGGGGAAACCCUGAUGCAGCGACGCCGCGUGAGUGAAGAAGUAUUUCGGUACGUAAAGCUCUAUCAGCAGGGAAGAAAAAUGACGGUACCUGACUAAGAAGCCCCGGCUAACUACGUGCCAGCAGCCGCGGUAAUACGUAGGGGGCAAGCGUUAUCCGGAUUUACUGGGUGUAAAGGGAGCGUAGACGGCUGUGCAAGUCUGAAGUGAAAUGCCGGGGCCCAACCCCGGAACUGCUUUGGAACCUGUACAGUUAGAGUGCAGGAGGGGUGA
Molecule: ribosomal RNA, 305 nt
Filed under: uncultured bacterium
Lineage: Bacteria
Description: bacterial SSU rRNA
Rfam family: Bacterial small subunit ribosomal RNA
Source: RNAcentral